This 1139-nucleotide ribosomal RNA is filed under the name Cellulomonas hominis. Its description in RNAcentral is "bacterial SSU rRNA". It matches the Rfam family "Bacterial small subunit ribosomal RNA", at positions 92 to 1240 of the family's 1533-position model. Lineage: Bacteria; Bacillati; Actinomycetota; Actinomycetes; Micrococcales; Cellulomonadaceae. The record is from RNAcentral.
ACUCUGGCGACGGGUGAGUAACUCGUGAGUAACCUGCCUCUGACUCUGGGAUUGGCCUUGGAAACGGGGUCUAAUACUGGAUACGAGACGCUCGGGCAUCCGAAGUGACUGGAAAGAUUUAUCGGUCAGAGAUGGACUCGCGGCCUAUCAGCUUGUUGGUGGGGUAAUGGCCUACCAAGGCGACGACGGGUAGCCGGCCUGAGAGGGCGACCGGCCACACUGGGACUGAGACACGGCCCAGACUCCUACGGGAGGCAGCAGUGGGGAAUAUUGCACAAUGGGCGCAAGCCUGAUGCAGCGACGCCGCGUGAGGGAUGACGGCCUUCGGGUUGUAAACCUCUUUCAGCAGGGAAGAAGCGAAAGUGACGGUACCUGCAGAAGAAGCGCCGGCUAACUACGUGCCAGCAGCCGCGGUAAUACGUAGGGCGCAAGCGUUGUCCGGAAUUAUUGGGCGUAAAGAGCUCGUAGGCGGUUUGUCGCGUCUGGUGUGAAAACUCAAGGCUCAACCUUGAGCUUGCAUCGGGUACGGGCAGACUAGAGUGCGGUAGGGGAGACUGGAAUUCCUGGUGUAGCGGUGGAAUGCGCAGAUAUCAGGAGGAACACCGAUGGCGAAGGCAGGUCUCUGGGCCGCAACUGACGCUGAGGAGCGAAAGCAUGGGGAGCGAACAGGAUUAGAUACCCUGGUAGUCCAUGCCGUAAACGUUGGGCACUAGGUGUGGGGCUCAUUCCACGAGUUCCGUGCCGCAGCAAACGCAUUAAGUGCCCCGCCUGGGGAGUACGGCCGCAAGGCUAAAACUCAAAGAAAUUGACGGGGGCCCGCACAAGCGGCGGAGCAUGCGGAUUAAUUCGAUGCAACGCGAAGAACCUUACCAAGGCUUGACAUACACCGGAAACUUCCAGAGAUGGUUGCCCCGCAAGGUCGGUGUACAGGUGGUGCAUGGUUGUCGUCAGCUCGUGUCGUGAGAUGUUGGGUUAAGUCCCGCAACGAGCGCAACCCUCGUCCUAUGUUGCCAGCGGGUUAUGCCCGGGAACUCAUAAGAAGACUGCCGGGGGUCAACUCGGAAGAAAGGUGGGGAUGACGUCAAAUCAUCAUGCCCCCUUAUGUCUUGGGGCUUCAGCCAGGCUACAAUGGCCCGGGU